UCGGUUUCUCCCUUCUGACGAACCAUGAUGUCAUUUAUUUGGUGUUGUGGGGAAUCAGGACUGUUACUUUGAAAAAAUUAGAGUGUUUAAAGCAGGCUCACGCUUGAAUACAUUAGCAUGGAAUAAUGAAAUAGGACGUUUGAUUCUAUUUUGUUGGUUUCUAGGAUCGACGUAAUGAUUAAUAGGGAUAGUUGGGGGCAUUAGUAUUCAAUUGUCAGAGGUGAAAUUCUUGGAUUUAUUGAAGACUAACUACUGCGAAAGCAUUUGCCAAGGAUGUUUUCAUUAAUCAUGAACGAAAGUUAGGGGAUCGAAGACGAUCAGAUACCGUCGCAGUCUUAACCAUAAACUAUGCCGACUAGGGAUCGGAUGAUGUUAAUUUUUUAAUGACUCAUUCGGCGCCUUACG
RNAcentral lists this ribosomal RNA (405 nucleotides) under uncultured Glomeromycotina. Its description in RNAcentral is "SSU rRNA". It matches the Rfam family "Eukaryotic small subunit ribosomal RNA", at positions 689 to 1092 of the family's 1831-position model. Lineage: Eukaryota; Fungi; Glomeromycota. The record is from RNAcentral.